Molecule: ribosomal RNA, 253 nt
Filed under: uncultured bacterium
Lineage: Bacteria
Also listed under: 1 other name
Description: partial 16S ribosomal RNA
Rfam family: Bacterial small subunit ribosomal RNA
Source: RNAcentral
GACGAACCGUGCGAACGUUGUUCGGAAUCACUGGGCUUAAAGGGCGCGUAGGCGGCUUGCCAAGUCAGGGGUGAAAUCCUGCAGCUCAACUGUAGAAGUGCCUUUGAUACUGGCGAGCUCGAGGGAGGUAGGGGUGGGUGGAACUUCUGGUGGAGCGGUGAAAUGCGUUGAUAUCAGAAGGAACGCCGGUGGCGAAAGCGACCCACUGGAUCUCUACUGACGCUGAGGCGCGAAAGCUAGGGGAGCAAACGGG